AAUCAACGCUGGCGGCGUGCCUAACACAUGCAAGUCGAACGCGAAAACCCCGCAAGGGUUAGUAGAGUGGCAAACGGGUGAGUAACACGUGGGUGACCUGCCUUCGAGUGGGGGAGUAACGUCCCGAAAGGGACGCUAAUACCGCAUGACAUCCUGCCUUUGAAGAGGCGGAGAUCAAAGCUGGGGACCGCAAGGCCUAGCGCUUGAAGAGGGGCCCGCGCCUGAUUAGCUAGUUGGUGGGGUAANGGCUCACCAAGGCAACGAUCAGUAUCCGGCCUGAGAGGGCGGACGGACACACUGGGACUGAGACACGGCCCAGGCUCCUACGGGAGGCAGCAGUGGGGAAUUGUUCGCAAUGGGCGCAAGCCUGACGACGCAACGCCGCGUGGA
RNAcentral lists this ribosomal RNA (390 nucleotides) under uncultured bacterium. RNAcentral describes it as "bacterial SSU rRNA". It matches the Rfam family "Bacterial small subunit ribosomal RNA", at positions 29 to 405 of the family's 1533-position model. The record is from RNAcentral.